UACGGAGGGUGCGAGCGUUAAUCGGAAUUACUGGGCGUAAAGGGCUAGUAGGCGGCUUAGCAAGUCGGGUGUGAAAACUUCAGGCUCAACCUGGAGCGGCCAUCCGAUACUGCUAUGGCUAGAGUCCGGUAGGGGACCACGGAAUUCCUGGUGUAGCGGUGAAAUGCGCAGAUAUCAGGAGGAACACCGGUGGCGAAGGCGGUGGUCUGGGCCGGAACUGACGCUGAAUAGCGAAAGCGUGGGUAGCGAACAGG
This 254-nucleotide ribosomal RNA is filed under the name uncultured bacterium. Its description in RNAcentral is "partial 16S ribosomal RNA". It matches the Rfam family "Bacterial small subunit ribosomal RNA", at positions 524 to 776 of the family's 1533-position model. The record is from RNAcentral.